GGCAAAAUUAAAUGCAGUGAUCCCAGAGAGAAAGGAAACAAGCAAGGAUCCCUUCUCUGGACAUUGAGGCUCCUUGGAGGAGAGCAGGUGUCUGGUCCGCAGGCAGAUGUCUGAUGCGAGGGACCCACGGUAACUCCACCCUGCAGACCGGGCCACAGAGGCAGCUUCUCCGGGGCCGCUUGGCUCUGAGGAGUGGGGUGACCAGAAGAUUCUGGGUCUACUGGAUUUUGAAAAAAGGCAGACAGCAGAGUGAGACGGAGACAGUCUGGAGAGCCAGCCAGCAGAACUCUGCACAGCUGUAUUCUCCACCUCCCACCUUGCGCCCUGCUGUCCCCGGGGUCGUGGACCAGCAGAGGGUGGGCAGGAGACCGCAUUCACAGUGUGGCUCCUCACUGUCAUCCCAGAGUCUCCCCUCACGAGCACCCCGGCUGCAGGGUGUAACCUGAGGCCCUAGCAGGGCCCAUGGAGCUUCUGCUGCUUUUCCCCGGGGGCCCUGAUGUGACAUUUCUCGUCCAGGAAGAGGAUGGAAGAUGAUAAAUUGAGCCACGCAGAGGAGAGGUAACUCCCUCCUGUCCUCAGAGUGUCCCGAAGACCCUCCUUUGCCUGGUGAGUGACAUACUAGAGCCCGCACGGUGACAGCUCAGGUAUGUGGCACCCCUCGGACCCACCCCUCCCUGGGUGGAGUGGCCCAGCUGUGGUGGGCACUUCCUCACCCAGCCGUGGGCACAGGCCAGACCCUGAGCCCAGCGGCCCUGUAAUUUCAGAUGUAGCUGGGCAUGUGUGUGUUAUUGGGUGAUACUUAAAUCCUAACCUUUUCAAAAGCAAACCCAAGUAAGCACAUAUUGGAGAACCAUAAUUCCAAGCUUGGAGGCCUCCCUCAAGGCGAUGGGGAGUGUGGCAUCGUGACCGCUAACCCGGUCCCUCCGCGGCCUUGGGUUUAAAAGCGUCUGUGUCCAGCCGGGAGGUGAACUCCUGACAGCAACGCCCGUCCAGCCCACACCUCUGCCUGGCAGUGUGCAGCAGGACCCCUGAAGCCCAAGUCGAGAGCAGCGCCUGGUCUCCACCCGAGACUGGGUGGCGGAGAAGCGCUGCCUCUGACCUCAGUGAGCAUGGAGAGGCGGUGACAGGUUUGGACAGUAGAGAUUUCAGCAAUUUCUGGAAGGUCUGAACAGGACCUGCCUCGGAAGCAGAAUCGGAUUCCGCUGACUGGGACAACGUCACGUGACAGCGAGUCCAGCGCCCGGGGCCUGGGAGAACAAAGGCGGCUGACCCGUCACAGGAGCUGCACGGCAAUGCAUCUGAGACCAUGCGGUGUCACCUUCACAGAAGUGCUCUGGCACAGAGACUCCAGCCUUGCCGGCCUCUCGCCUCCCAAGCACAGAAGCCUCCAGAACGCUGCUUCAAGGACAAGCCCAGGAGACCUGCCAUGCUCAUGCGUGUCUUUGGAAACAGGUUCUCUAAAUUUUGCUUGUGGUUUGUUAAAAAAAAAAAAAAAAUCAGAAGUGUAAUCAAAGACUUCAACAAACGAAGCACCAAAACACUUCAGCUUUGAAAUGUAGAAUUGCAAUGACUGGAAACACGGCUCGCAAAGCAAAAGACAUUAAAAUUCAGUCAUCCCUACAGAAGCCGGACAGGAAUUGAUCACAUCCACUAGUGAAGGCUCAGAAAGUGACAAGAUUUCAUUUGGAAAUCGUACCUGUGUCCUUGGGAACAUCCUGAACCUUGGGAAGCAUCAGCUCAUGGAGUUCCUAUUAACUGGAUAAAUUUAUAUUCUAGAUUGAAAUGGAAUGGAAUUAAGUAGGCCCACGGUUUUGCAGCACGUACAUUUGAAGAAUCAUUAAAAAUCAUCAUAGAAACAA
RNAcentral lists this long non-coding RNA (1859 nucleotides) under Homo sapiens (human). RNAcentral's name for it is "HSALNT0406422". Lineage: Eukaryota; Metazoa; Chordata; Mammalia; Primates; Hominidae. The record is from RNAcentral.